This 74-nucleotide transfer RNA is filed under the name Candidatus Pacearchaeota archaeon. RNAcentral's name for it is "tRNA-Ile". It matches the Rfam family "tRNA". Rfam says of the family: Transfer RNA (tRNA) molecules are approximately 80 nucleotides in length. The record is from RNAcentral. Lineage: Archaea; Nanobdellati.
UGGCUUGUAGCUCAGCGGCAGAGCGGAGCCCUGAUAAGGCUUGUCAUGCGGUGGUUCGAGUCCACUCAGGCCAA